GGCUACCAUGCAGUCGAGCGGCAGCGGAGGUACCUUGCUACUUUGCCGGCGAGCGGCGGACGGGUGAAUAAUGUCUGGAAAACUGCCUGAUGGAGGGGGAUAACUACUGGAAACGGUAUCUAAUACCGCAUAACGUCGCAAGACCAAAGAGGGGGACCUUCGGGCCUCUUGCCAUCAUAUGUGCCCAUAUGGGAUUAUCUAAUAGGUGGGGUAACGGCUCACCUACGCGACUAUCCCUAUCUGGUCUGAGAGGAUGACCACCCACUCUGGAACUGACACACGGUCCACACUCCUACGGGAGGCAGCAGUGGGGAAUAUUGCACAGUGGGCGCAAGCCUGAUGCACCCGUGCCGCGUGUAUGAAAAAGGCCUUCGGGUUGUAAAGUAUUUUCCGCGGGGAAGAGGGUGUUGAGGUUAAUAACCUCCACUUUUGACUUUACCCGCAAAAAAAGCCCCGGCUAACUCCGUGCCAACCCCCGCGGUAAUACGGAGGGUGCAAGCGUUAAUCAGAAUUACUGGGCAUAAAGCGCACGCACGCGCUCUGUCAACUCAGAUGUGAAAUCCCCGGGCUCAACCUGGGAACUGCUUUCGACAGUGGCGCGCUAGACUCGUGUAGAGGGGGGUAGAAUUCCGUGUGUAGCGGUGAAGUGCAUAGAGAUCUGGAAGAAUACCGGUGGCAAACGCGCCCCCCUGGACAAACACUGACUCUCAUGUGCGAAAGCGUGGGGAGCACACGAGAUUAUAUACCCUGGUAGUCCACCCCAUACACUAUGUCCACUUGGAUGGUGUGCCCGUGACGCGUGGCUUCCAGAUCUAACGCUUUAACUCCACCGCCUGGGGAGUACCGCCGCAAGGUUAACACUCAUAUGAUUUGACGGGGGGCCCGCACACGCGGGGGAGCAUGUGUUUUUAUUUCUAUGCAGCGCAAAGAACCUUCUCUACUCUUGAUCUCCAGAGAUUUUCCCAUAUAUGGGUUGGGGUCCUUCUCGGAGAACCUCUGAAAAACGAGCUGGCAGCAUGGUCUU
This 1024-nucleotide ribosomal RNA is filed under the name Enterobacter sp. VJ-3. RNAcentral describes it as "bacterial SSU rRNA". It matches the Rfam family "Bacterial small subunit ribosomal RNA", at positions 45 to 1055 of the family's 1533-position model. The record is from RNAcentral. Lineage: Bacteria; Pseudomonadati; Pseudomonadota; Gammaproteobacteria; Enterobacterales; Enterobacteriaceae.